Molecule: ribosomal RNA, 368 nt
Filed under: uncultured organism
Description: bacterial SSU rRNA
Rfam family: Bacterial small subunit ribosomal RNA
Source: RNAcentral
CGAAGGAUCCUAGCGUUGUCCGGAUUUACUGGGUUUAAAGGGUGCGUAGGCGGACUUUUAAGUCAGUGGUGAAAGCUUGCAGCUUAACUGUAAAAUUGCCAUUGAAACUGAAAGUCUCGAGUACGGUUGAGGUCACUGGAAUGUAUCAUGUAGCGGUGAAAUGCUUAGAUAUGAUACAGAACACCUAUUGCGAAGGCAGGUGACUAAACCGUAACUGACGCUGAGGCACGAAAGCGUGGGGAUCAAACAGGAUUAGAUACCCUGGUAGUCCACGCCCUAAACUUUGCAUACUCGGCCUUAGCGAUAUACUGUUAGGACCCAAGCGAAAGCGUUAAGUAUGCCACCUGGGAAGUACGAUCGCAAGAUUG